RNAcentral lists this ribosomal RNA (440 nucleotides) under uncultured bacterium. Its description in RNAcentral is "partial 16S ribosomal RNA". It matches the Rfam family "Bacterial small subunit ribosomal RNA", at positions 338 to 795 of the family's 1533-position model. The record is from RNAcentral.
CCUACGCGAGGCAGCAGUGGGGAAUAUUGCACACUGGUCGAAACCCUGAUGCAGCGACGCCGCGUGAGUGCAGAAGUAAUUCGUUAUGUAAAGCUCUAUCAGCAGGGAAGAAAAUGACGGUACCUGAGUAAGAAUCCCUGGCUAACGACGUUCCAGCAACCGCGGUAAUACUUAGUGGGCAAGCGUUCUCCGGAUUUACUGGGUGUAAAUGGAGCGUAGACGGCAGUGCACGUCUGGAGUGAAAGGCGGGGGCUCAACCCCCGGACUGCUCUUGAAACUGUAAGGCUGGAGUGCAGGAGGGGAAGGCGGAAUUCCUGGUGUAGCGGUGAAAUGCGUAGAUAUCAGGAGGAACACCGGUGGCGAAGGCGGCCUGCUGGACUGCGACUGACGUUGAGGCCCGAAAGCGUGGGAAGCAAACAGGAUUAGAUACCCCAGUAGUC